Molecule: long non-coding RNA, 316 nt
Organism: Haemorhous mexicanus (house finch)
Lineage: Eukaryota; Metazoa; Chordata; Aves; Passeriformes; Fringillidae
Exons: 3
Source: RefSeq, a predicted model, not a curated record
UGUUGCCGUACGGAACCGCGCGGGCUGCCGGGAGCAAGCGGGGAAGCGAAGCAAGCAGCGCGCCGCCAUCUUGGUGUACGGAAUGGAGAGCGGCGUGAUGACGCACUUCCGGCGGCGCUGAGGCGGGAAAGUUGAGCCCCAAAUCUUUGGGAUUUUCUGGGAAUUCCCAAGGAUGGAUCCUGGGAAGGAAGAGCAGGAAAAUGAAGAGAAAAUGGAAAUUCCACAGGUGCCGGGGGUGCUGUCCCAGCUGUGCGAGCUGGAGCGGCGGGAGCGGCGCCGGGCGCUGCGGGGGGAGCGGCGGGAGCGCGGCCGGCAG